GUGCUGUUCAUCUUCAGUGAACAACAUUGAAUGCCAAAGCUCUUAAAUAACCUCCAAGCCCUAGUUAUCAAGGACACAGCAAGAUAGCAACACUUGAAAGGAAAUCCUUUUUUCCAAAGACAGAAAAUUGUCUUGCACAAAUUCACAUAUUACAUCAGUGCAAAGACAAACACAGUUGUGCAGAUCAGUGCAAUCUCAUAAAUGUAAUUUUGAUAUAAAAAUGUGGUAGGCUACCAUGAAAAUAGCUUGCCAGUGGUUCAAAUCCAAAUUGUAAGUGCAGUUCAUGCUACAUAUGUGUUCUUUAAAGAGUCGUUUGAAGGCUCUGAGUUUCACCUCAAUCUGUAAAACAGAGCAGGCUAUAGCUCGUGAAGGAGUUCCCACAGGAGCCAAAGGGGGGUGCAGAAACCAACAGCUUGAGACAGUGAGCUGCAGUGAGAUGGUUGCAUCUGCCUUUGUGUUUGCCAGUUUGCCUCAGCAUGGGAAAGUGUCUCUUCCCCGUCAGCCUCCCAUACCCCUGUGAGGCAGGCAGUCCCACAAAACAUCACGCUCUGCCUCUGACAUCCCAGUGGGUUUAGACAAUCGAGGGAAAGACCUCACCUUCAUUUCUGAGAGAUCUUCGAGAUAGGACCAGGCAGAGGAGGUGUGAAUGCUGGGUCAGGUGGGAAGGAAGCGGGCAGAGGGAGCCUGCAGGCGCGGCGAGCCCCGUCCAGCAUAAUGAAGAAACUGGUGCCAAGGCACUGGCACCACUGAGAGCUGGGACUCCAGAGCACAAACGCGUGAGGACACAAAUCAGGACCAGCAAUCUGCAAGGAUCCCGCAAAAACGGGCUGCUCCCUAAGUAGCUGGCUGUCGAUGUGUGUCUGGAAAACGGGAAAAGGAGUGGAACAAUUAAACAUUUAAGUUUCUUUUUCACAGAAGCUCUAUCCUGACACCUGGCUUAGAUUUAUUAAUGAUACCACUUUGCAUAUGAAUU
This 973-nucleotide long non-coding RNA is filed under the name Marmota monax (woodchuck). The record is from RNAcentral. Lineage: Eukaryota; Metazoa; Chordata; Mammalia; Rodentia; Sciuridae.